Molecule: ribosomal RNA, 512 nt
Filed under: uncultured bacterium
Lineage: Bacteria
Description: partial 16S ribosomal RNA
Rfam family: Bacterial small subunit ribosomal RNA
Source: RNAcentral
GACGAACGCUGGCGGCAUGCCUAAUACAUGCAAGUCGAGCGAACAGAUGAAGUGCCUGCACUUCUGACGUUAGCGGCGAACGGGUGAGUAACACGUAGGAAUCCACCUAUAAGCGGGGGAUAACAUUCGGAAACGGGUGCUAAUACCGCAUAAUAUCUUCUUCCGCAUGGAAGAAGAUUGAAAGACGGCUCUGCUGUCACUUAUAGAUGACCUUGCGGUGCAUUAGUUAGUUGGUGGGGUAAUGGCCUACCAAGACGAUGAUGCAUAGCCGACCUGAGAGGGUGAUCGGCCACAUUGGGACUGAGACACGGCCCAAACUCCUACGGGAGGCAGCAGUAGGGAAUCUUCCGCAAUGGGCGAAAGCCUGACGGAGCAAUGCCGCGUGAGUGAAGAAGGCCUUCGGGUCGUAAAACUCUGUUAUAAGAGAAGAACAAAUUGUAGAGUAACUGCUACAGUCUUGACGGUAUCUUAUCAGAAAGCCACGGCUAACUACGUGCCAGCAGCCGCGGUAA